Molecule: ribosomal RNA, 450 nt
Filed under: uncultured bacterium
Lineage: Bacteria
Description: bacterial SSU rRNA
Rfam family: Bacterial small subunit ribosomal RNA
Source: RNAcentral
ACUCCUACGGGAGGCAGCAGUGGGGAAUCUUGGACAAUGGGCGCAAGCCUGAUCCAGCCAUGCCGCGUGAGUGAUGAAGGCCUUAGGGUCGUAAAGCUCUUUCGCCAGGGAUGAUAAUGACAGUACCUGGUAAAGAAACCCCGGCUAACUCCGUGCCAGCAGCCGCGGUAAUACGGAGGGGGUUAGCGUUGUUCGGAAUUACUGGGGCGUAAAGCGCGCGUAGGCGGAUUAGUCAGUCAGAGGUGAAAUCCCAGGGGCUCAACCCUGGAACUGCCUUUGAUACUGCUAGUCUUGAGUUCGAGAGAGGUGAGUGGAAUUCCGAGUGUAGAGGUGAAAUUCGUAGAUAUUCGGAGGAACACCAGUGGCGAAGGCGGCUCACUGGCUCGAUACUGACGCUGAGGUGCGAAAGUGUGGGGAGCAAACAGGAUUAGAUACCCUGGUAGGAUAGCG